RNAcentral lists this ribosomal RNA (642 nucleotides) under uncultured bacterium. Its description in RNAcentral is "bacterial SSU rRNA". It matches the Rfam family "Bacterial small subunit ribosomal RNA", at positions 36 to 716 of the family's 1533-position model. The record is from RNAcentral.
UUGGCGGCGUGGAUUAGGCAUGCAAGUCGAGGGAAUCCCAGCAAUGGGGGAACCGGCGUAAGGGGCAGUAAGGCGUGGGUACCUACCGCGGGGUUCGGGAUAGUCAUCAGAGAUGGUGGGUAAUACCGGAUGACGUCGUGAGACCAAAGAUUUAUCGCCCUGUGAGGGGCCCACGUGAUAUUAGCUAGUUGGUGAGGUAACGGCUCACCAAGGCGAAGAUGUCUAGCGGGUGUGAGAGCACGACCCGCGCCACUCGCACUGAGACACUGGCGAGACACCUACGGGUGGCUGCAGUCGAGGAUCUUCGGCAAUGGGCGAAAGCCUGACCGAGCGACGCCGCGUGCGCGAUGAAGGCCUUCGGGUUGUAAAGCGCGAAAGUGGGGAGAAAGCCGCAAGGUUGAUCGAUCCACAGUAAGCACGGGCUAAGUUCGUGCCAGCAGCCGCGGUAAGACGAACCGUGCGAACGUUGUUCGGAAUCACUGGGCUUAAAGGGCGCGUAGGCGGGCUGUCAAGUCUGGGGUGAAAUGCCGCGGCUCAACCGUGGAACUGCCUUAGAUACUGACGGCCUCGAGGGAGGUAGGGGCAUGCGGAACUGUGAGUGGAGCGGUGAAAUGCGUUGAUAUUCACAGGAACUCCGGUGGC